This 118-nucleotide ribosomal RNA is filed under the name Pteropus vampyrus (large flying fox). The record is from RNAcentral. Lineage: Eukaryota; Metazoa; Chordata; Mammalia; Chiroptera; Pteropodidae.
GCUCACCGCCCUGCCACCUGGAAUAAGCCCGAUCCUGUCUGAUCUCAGAAGCUAAGCAGGGUUGGGCCUGGUUAGUACUUGGAUGGAGACCACAUAGGAAGACCAGGAGCUGUAAGCA